GGCCUGGUGGUCUAGUAGUAUGAUUCCUUCUUAGGGCAUUUAUGUCAAUUGGAGGAGGUCCCGGGUUCAAUUCCCGGCCAGGCCC
This 85-nucleotide transfer RNA is filed under the name Jaapia argillacea MUCL 33604. RNAcentral's name for it is "tRNA-Pro". It matches the Rfam family "tRNA". From Rfam's summary of the family: Transfer RNA (tRNA) molecules are approximately 80 nucleotides in length. Their secondary structure includes four short double-helical elements and three loops (D, anti-codon, and T loops). The record is from RNAcentral. Lineage: Eukaryota; Fungi; Basidiomycota; Agaricomycetes; Jaapiales; Jaapiaceae.